RNAcentral lists this ribosomal RNA (253 nucleotides) under uncultured bacterium. RNAcentral's name for it is "partial 16S ribosomal RNA". It matches the Rfam family "Bacterial small subunit ribosomal RNA", at positions 524 to 776 of the family's 1533-position model. The record is from RNAcentral.
UACGUAGGGGGCAAGCGUUGUCCGGAAUCAUUGGGCGUAAAGCGCGUGUAGGCGGCCCAGUAAGUCCGCUCUGAAAGCCCGGGGCUUAACCCCGGGAGGCGGGUGGAUACUGCUGGGCUCGAGUCCGGAAGAGGCGAGUGGAAUUCCCGGUGUAGCGGUGAAAUGCGCAGAUAUCGGGAGGAACACCAAUGGCGAAGGCAGCUCGCUGGGACGUGACUGACGCUGAGACGCGAAAGCGUGGGGAGCAAACAGG